This 500-nucleotide ribosomal RNA is filed under the name uncultured bacterium. Its description in RNAcentral is "partial 16S ribosomal RNA". It matches the Rfam family "Bacterial small subunit ribosomal RNA", at positions 29 to 523 of the family's 1533-position model. The record is from RNAcentral.
AUUGAACGCUGGCGGAAUGCUUUACACAUGCAAGUCGAGCGGCAGCGCGGGGGCGACCUUGGCGGCGAGCGGCGAACGGGUGAGUAAGACAUCGGAACGUACCCUGUUGUGGGGGAUAACGAAUCGAAAGAUUCGCUAAUACCGCAUACGACCUGAGGGUGAAAGGGGGGGACCGCAAGGCCUCUCGCGGCAGGAGCGGCCGAUGGCCGAUUAGCUAGUUGGUGGGGUAAAGGCUCACCAAGGCGACGAUCGGUAGCGGGUCUGAGAGGACGACCCGCCACACUGGGACUGAGACACGGCCCAGACUCCUACGGGAGGCAGCAGUGGGGAAUUUUGGACAAUGGGGGCAACCCUGAUCCAGCCAUUCCGCGUGAGUGAAGAAGGCCUUCGGGUUGUAAAGCUCUUUCGGCAGGAACGAAACGGUGGAGGUUAAUACCCUUUAUCAAUGACGGUACCUGAAGAAGAAGCACCGGCUAACUACGUGCCAGCCGCCGCCGUAA